GCGGAGGUAGCCAAGUGGAUCAAGGCAGU
This 29-nucleotide transfer RNA is filed under the name Elatostema sp. Peng 23849. RNAcentral describes it as "partial tRNA-His". The record is from RNAcentral. Lineage: Eukaryota; Viridiplantae; Streptophyta; Magnoliopsida; Rosales; Urticaceae.